UACAUGGAUCUGUACAUCCACUCUCCUAUACACUUUCGUGGUGUAGUGUUUAAUUAGUUAAGCUCAGUUAAAUCAUUACCAUACCUUACAUUUAUACGGGAAACAUUUUACCAGUUGCUCAGAUUAUUGGAAAAGACUUGGCAUAUUUCAUUCUAGUGAAAAUGUAAACAAAGGCUUCCUUCCUUUAACAAAAAGGUGGCCUAUGCAUAUGGAGCGUUCCAGAACGAUCAGAUUACAGGAAUGCAUCAUUCUUUGGCUAAACAGGAUAAGAAUAUUACUUUGUAAUUACAAUCAUCCUUCACAGCUUUCCAAGAGCCCUCCAUAUUCAACUGCUGAUAAAAAGAUCUCCCUUAUGGAACAUGAGGGCUCAUGACUUUCACUUUCAGGAGUGAAACAGGUUGUGGACAAAAAUACCAAAGAAGAAGACAGCAAACUGAUUCUGCACACAGCAUCACUUCAAGAGGGAAUGUACCUCAAACAGUAUAGCAACAAGGUUACAGCAGACACUUUCCUCUUCUCUGCAGUGUGCAGGUUAUCGUUGAGACCCACAGCCUCCUACGUAAUGGGUACCAGGAUAUGAAGCUGACCACUCACACUUCAUCUAGAGGCAAUACUAAGAAUGUAUGGAGGUUUACAUCCAUAGAGCUUCUUGAUGUGGGUUUUGCCAUGGCAAUGCCAUGUAGAUGUGUGAAUUAACUCACAUGAACUACAUUAGUUCAGCAAAUGGUUACCUCCACAAGGAUAUAGCCACUCCUUCUUCAAGACCUACAUAUUGAUCCACUCAUCUGCCUCAUUCGCCCUGAAGAUGAAGAGCACACUGCAAACUGGAAGUACACAUAUGGAUCCUGCUUCUGGCGAUUGCAUUGCUGAUGUUCUGGAGCUACUGUCACCAGUGUGUGACACUGUUACAAGGGAAUCUUCAAGAAGUAUACAGAACAUCUUGUGCACAAUAAAGAUUUUCAAAUAACAAAGGAAGUCCUUGAUAUCUACAAGACUGAACACAGUGAAAGUCAACCCUCUCCACAAAUCAGGGUACACCAUACCUUGUGCUGGCAACCCAUUUUGUAAAUAUGUUUUGAUUUCCCACCAAUGUAUGAAUGCCAGAAAUAUGUUGUUGCAAAUAGACUCUAUUAAAUUUCUAAUGAUGUAAUAGGCUGUGACACUGAUGGUGACCCUCAUUCAGUAGCAAAUGAAGUAGAUGAGAGAUGACAACCAAACAAGUUGGCUCAAGCCAUAACACUGACUAUCCUGACUGAGAAUGUUCAGUUUUUCCAUGGACCCUUUCAGGUGAAUGCCGAGAUGGUGCCUCAAAUUAGACCACAGCCAUUUCCUUCCACAUCCCAUCCAAUUCACUGGUUACCCUAGCAUUUGACACUAUAUUGUCUCAUCUACUGAGAGAAAUUAAAUAAAUAAAUAUAAAGGCCAAUGAUGUAUUUUAUUUAUUCUGUGGUGUUACUAUAAGUCAUAGAAGGUGACAAAAUGC
Molecule: long non-coding RNA, 1483 nt
Organism: Cryptotermes secundus
Lineage: Eukaryota; Metazoa; Arthropoda; Insecta; Blattodea; Kalotermitidae
Exons: 3
Source: RefSeq, a predicted model, not a curated record